CUUCAUUAGCUGUGGGAUGUGGGCUCAGCAAUUGUGGUGCACGAGUUUAGUUGCUUCCUGGCAUGUGGGAUCUUUCCAGAUCAGAGAUGGAACCUGUGUCCCCUGCACUGGCAGACAGAUUCUUAAUCACGGGACCAUCAGGGAAGUCUAGCCUCAUUGUGUUGGAUUCCUGCAACAUGGGAAAGGCACUCCCACUAAAAACAAAAACUGGACUGAUGGCUCAGAAACAAGUGAUUCAUGUGCAUCCAACAUGAAGGAAACUACAGGCAAGUCAAAAUGAAAGCUGGAAAGAGCUCUAAUUAUUUGAAAAACUUGCCAUCUCGAAAUCUGAAAUCACAUUAGUUUGUAAAGGCUAUUCUGUUAGAACUGGAGGUUCAAAAAGUCUUGAGUGAGAGGAAGCUUUUGAAAUUCCACCUGCACAGAAAUCUUUCCACAGCCUGGCUGACAGUUGCUCAUCUAAUCUCUAGCUGAGUCUUUCCUGUAACAAGUAACUUAUUUCUAUACAGGUCCAUUCUACUGUUGAAUAUCUGGUAUGAAGUCUUCUAUAUACAGCCCAGAUGUCAUUUGCCUCUUCAGUCUCUGAAUAUUUGUAAAGUUAUGUUUCUAUUAAAACCCAAAUUAUGAUGACUUUGAGUAUCUAUGGGACUUUGUAAGAGUCCAAGUCUUUUUAGAAAACUUGGGUAUAUUUUUCAUUGCCC
RNAcentral lists this long non-coding RNA (698 nucleotides) under Capra hircus (goat). Its description in RNAcentral is "lncRNA (ENSCHIG00000002591.1)". The record is from RNAcentral. Lineage: Eukaryota; Metazoa; Chordata; Mammalia; Artiodactyla; Bovidae.